GUGGUUUGUUUUCACUUGCAGGCUGAAACAGCAGUUUCCUUAAUUAAAAACACCCCAACAUGUGCCCCGGCCCCCAACAAAAAUAACGCCAAAAAUGCCACUGAAAGAAACACAGGGAGUUUUUAAAAAAUUUCCUUUAGCUUUCUCUCCCCUCCACCCCUACCCUGCUGCGUUCAGUGCAGUGAAUGACCGUGAGGAGAUGGCUGUGGGUCUGGCUGUUGAAGGGUGUGUGAAGGAGAAGGAGGUGUGUGUAGAGCAGGAUUGGUGGUGGAGGUGAGUGCAGCUGGUUUGGGUGUGGGGCUGUAAAUUCUUUUUGGAGGCUUCCUAGUUUCUGGUGUCACCUGCGGGGUGAAGUGUGACUCUGUGCAGGUUUGAAAGGUGCAACGUGCAGAGCUCCCUCAUUUGCCACCAGAUCUCCCAAUCACAGAGACAGCGUCGCUGUGCAGCUGCUAAGGACAGCGCGUCUCGUGCAGAACAGCAUCCUUUGUGCUCCGUGUGCGUGUUCCUCCUUUGAAAUGAAGUUGGGCCGCCCGGUGUUCCACGUUACGUGUGGUACCUGCUGGGCUGAGUCUCCUCCCCGCGCUCCGGUCGGUUCCGUCGCGCUGCCGCAGCCCCGGCAGCACCGCGGCGUUCGCUGGACGCGUUGUUGGCGGAGCCGGCACCGACAAUCUUGACACGUCGAGGCGCUGCGGUGGGUUUGCCUGGGAAUUCCAAGGUAAUUCCAAGGCAGACAGUAAUAAUCCCCAAUUUAUGUAGUAAAAUUUAAGAGUGGAAUAUAAAUGCUGGAGCACUAAUUGGAAGUAAUACCUGUAGAGAAAAAAACCUCUAGUUUAUAUCUACAAUAAAAAAUAAUGUGUGCUAGUAAAUCCGCCUGGUAGUAAUGUAAUGAUAAAAAUGUUAAAGUGUAAAUAGAUGAAAUUAUAUAGGCAUGAGCAAGAAGUAAAUUUAAUUUCAGCUAUUACUUGGUGAACUAGGCAGCAGUUGUUCCCAAUCUGAAUGCUAGUUUAAAAAACACAUUGUUUGGAAUUCCUUUUAAAUGAUAAAGGCAGAAAACUAAUGUGGAGUCAUUGGUAGCUUCAUUUGAACAACCGUUAUGAAAUAAACCGCAGACACGAAUGACUGCAUAGGAAACAAAGUGAGGAAGCUUUAGAUUUUAAACAGCAUUGGAAAGUGAUCGGGAGUGUUUAGUAUUUAAAUUAUAACAGAGCCACGAGAUUGGAGGCAACAAAGCUCAGAACCAAACAGAGUCAAAACGUUACAUUUCUUUUUUUAAAGAGAAGUAUAAAGGAACCACUAAGUAGUGGCUGUUUAUAAACAGAGGUAUUAAAAAGUUCCCAACAGAACACUAGAAGAUAUUUAGAUGUAAAAUAAUAUUAGAAAACAGUUAUGACAGUCUGAAUUUAACCACAGCUUUUUUGGGGUUGUGCAAAAACAUGACCGCUAUUAAUUACCUCUGAGUUAAAAUAAAAAGACAUCAAACUAGAUGUGAUUAACAACAGCUAAUUUUAAUUUUUCAGUGUGCUAUCCAGUCCGGCUUCUCCCUCCAAGGGCGUGGUCUGAGAAAGCCACACCCCCAACUGCCCCCCGUCCAAGCUCCGCCCCUGCCAGUCUGUGCCCUCCCCGAGGCGCGUGUCCCUUACAGCCCCCUCCCAGCAGCAUAAUGCAUCGAAGCCCCGCCCGCGGCUCCACCCCUAAACUCAGCCCCUGCUAAACCACGCCCCCUCAGAGCACGUGCUGUACAGAGCCCACCCUACUCUCGGCUCCACCCCUCCCUUCCUAAGCUACGCCCUCUUUGGGCGUGUCCUUCUCCCUACCCCAAGCGGCUCCUCCUAUGGGGGUGUGACACACGGAGGAACCACCCCCUGCCCAGUUCCCCCAGGUGGGCCUCCCAAUGGGCGUGUCCUCCCAGUCCCCGCCCCUCGGCACGGAUCCCACCCCCGUGGGUGGGGCUCCACCCAGCUGCGCGCUCGGCCCCCCCCACCCAUACGUGACCCUCAGUAACCCCAUGGCAGCCCUAUGGCUGCCCCACAGGUACCGCUACAGCAGCCCUGCUCCUUCCCCGCAAGAGCUCCAGACACGCCUCUGCAGAGCCCCCACAGCAGCCACUUCAGUGCCCCACAGCUAUCACCGCAGCCGCCCCAUCCCGCCCCACGGCCGCCGCUGCGGGACCCCUGGAGCCCCCGACCCCACACCCGCCUCGCAGCCCCACAGCGCGCGGUCUCGCGGCCGCGGUGCCGGUGAAGCCACGUGCCGGCCGCGGCCGGAGGAGCCGCCGGUUUCCCGCCCCCACAUCCCCCGAUCGCUGCUGCCGCGGCUGGAGGAGCCGCCGGUUUUGCCCCCACAUCCCCCGAUCGCUGCUGCUGCCGCGGCCGGAGGAGCCGCCGGUUUUCCCCCCCACACCCCCCGAUCGCUGCUGCUGCCGCGGCCGGAGGAGCCGCCGGUUUUCCCCCCCCAUAUCCCCCGAUCGCUGCUGCUGCCGCGGCCCGAGGAGCCGCCGGUUUCCCCCCCACAUCCCCCGAUCGCUGCUGCUGCCGCGGCCGGAGGAGCCGCUGGUUUUCCGCCCAGCCCCGACUCUCCUCCUUCCUCUUCAAUCGCCGCUGCAUGCCGCCACGAUGUCUUCUAUUCUGCCAUCUUGUUUCCCCCUUCUCCUCUCAUUCGCUAUUUUAUACCGAGGGAGGGAGGAGGCGCUCGCUGAUUGGCUGACAGUGUCAGUCUCGGAAGUCGUCCAUUGGCUCAUCCCCACGAGGGGUUCUCCGAGGGGGUGGGAGAAAGGCGCUGAUUGGUCACCGUGUCGCUGAGGUGAGGAAGGCACUGAUUGGUCACUUUCCGCCGAAGUUCGCCCUCCCAGUAACAGGCGCUGAUUCGCUAGCGCCCCUGAGGUAGAAAAGGCGCUGAUUGGUCGGCGUUUUCUCGCCGACGUUAGCCCACAGCAACGAAGCGCUGAUUGGGCAGCGCGGCUGACGGGGCGGAUCGUCCAUUGGCAGGAGGGCGGGCGGGGGGCGGGACCGGGCGGGACAACGAGGUAAUAAAUGGGGCGGCGCAGAACGCGCGCAGGAUCAGAAAGGCGGAGGCGGCAGCGGCAGCGCGAGCUCAUCGGCCCCCCUCCCCCACCCCCUCCCCCGCGGCGGGAAACCCGAGAACGGCAGGAACGGCGGCCGGAAUCAGUUAACGGGGCGGGUCAGGGCGGUAAUUAUCGUGCGGGUGUUAAUUGGGGCUCGGCGGGUGAAUGAGUGACCGGCGGGCUGGGGUGUAUCUGGGGGUUUUGAUCGGAACUGGGGUUUUAAAGCCGCGGGUUUGUGGGGGGUGGGGGGGCGGGGGCGAUUAAGGCUCCCGGAGCCGCUUUAGCGGCUUAAAUCGUUGUGUUGAACGCGGGAGGAGCCGGUUCGGGGCUUUUCUCAGCAAGCGGGGCUGGUUUGGGUCUAAUUCGGCUUUUAAAAGAUGUUUUUACGUAAUUUUUGGGUGCCGAUUUGUGCCAGAAGGCGCCUUUGAAAUCUGUUUAUUGAGGGUUUAUCAGGAGAAUUAAAGUUUAAAGCUCGGGGAGAUUUGGGGCUUUUCCCCGGGAUUUUGAGUCCAAAUCGGUUUUUUUAGAGCCCUUAUUUAUUUAAAUUGUUAUGUUUAAAGGGUUUAUUUGAGGUUUUAUUUGGAACAUUUUGGGCGGGUUUGAGGCUCCUAAGAUUUAAUUGUUGGUUUAUUAUUUGAUUUAUUAUUUCACUGCGGUGCGGGGCUCCUGAAGACGCUGAGUUGUUUCAAUUAUUUAGCGCUGUGAGGAGCCGUUUUGGGGCCGUUGGGGUCUAAAUCGGCUUUUUAAAAGGUUUAUUUAACGCGUUUAAAGUUUGAGGGGCCGAUUUGCGACUUUAAAGAUUUUUGAAUCUACUUAUUGAUAAGAAUUUAUACAAUAGAUUAAUAUUUAAAGCCCGGGGGGAGAUUUGGGGCUGUUUCCCAGGAUUGCGAGUCCAAAUGCGUUUUUUUCUGUUAACCGCUUAUUAAUUUAAAUUAUUAUAUUUAAACGGGGCUUUUUGAGGUUUUAUGAGGUUUUUUUUGAGCAUUUUGGGCGGUUCUGAGGCUCCUAAAGCCGCUUAAUUGUUUAAAUUAUUAAUUGUUAAAAUAAUGUAAGUAGUUGUUGAAAUAAGUGUGUAAGUUAUUGUAUUUAAAGCCGGGAGGGGCAUUUCGUUGCUUUUUGGGGGGUUUUAGGGCUGAAUUCACUUCAUUGAACGUGUCUAGAGCUGGGGGUCCCAGAUCUGGUGCUGAUUUGGCCCCAAAAAAAGCUUUAAAAAUCUAUUUAUUUAUAUAAUUUACUGAAUUAAUAUUUAAGCGGGAACAUGUUCGGCUUUUUUAACCCGCCGCCAUUUUGUCUCCCCCGUCCCGCUCUCCCUCACGCUGAGGGGGCCGAGGAGACGCUCGCUGAUUGGCCGGUGCCGUCUGGCGGGAAAGCCUCCCCCGGCUCAGCCCCGCUCGGCUGUCUCCGAGGGAGAGAAAGGCGCUGAUUGGUCGCUGCCUCUGAGGAGAGAAAGGCGCUGAUUGGUCGCCGCCUCCCUAAACCCACCUCCUGCGCAGAGAACAGCGAAGGCAGCCUGGCCACGCCCCCUCCGGCUGACCGCGCCCCCCCCUCCGGCUGACCGCGCGUGCCCCCCCCGCAACUCGGCUGACCGCGUGCCCCCCCCAACUCCGGCUGACUGUGUCCCCCCGCCCCCCGGCUGAUCCCGUGCCCCCCCCACUGCACUCCUGCUGACUGUGCGCCCCCCCCACCUCCUCCAGCUGGCCACAUCUCCACUGCACACCAUGGCGGGGAUGGGGUGGGGGGGAUCACAAGGGUCUAUGGGGCGGUGUGGGGGUCAGGGCGGCUGUGGGGUCAAUGGGGUUGUUGUGGGGUGAAACACCCCUGAAGAGGCUGAACCCCCUACAGGUGAGUGACCCACACAGUGCCCCACAGUGCCCCAUAGCACCUCCACUCUGCCCUAUGGAUCCACAACACUGCCCCACAGCACCCUAUAGCUCCUGCUUGCUAUCCCACAGCACCCCAUGGCUUCUCCACUCUGCGCCAUAUGUCUACAGCAGUGCCACAGAGUACCUCAUAUGUCUUCCACUCUGCCCCAUGGGUGCAGAGUGCUGCCCUACAGCACCCUAUAGCUCCUGUACUCUGCCCCACAGAUCCACAGUGCUGUCCCACAGCACCCUAUAGCUCGUCUGGCCUAUAGACCCACUGUACUGCCCUACAAUGCCCCAUGGCUCCUACACUCUGCCCCAUAGACCCACAACACUGCCUCACAACACCCCAUUGCUCCUGCACUCUGCCCCAUGGAUGCCCAGUACUGCCCCACAGCACCAUAUAGGUCCUGUACUCUGCCCCAUAUAUCCACAGGAGUGCCCUGCAGCACCCCAUGGCUCCUGCACUCUGCCCCAUGGAUACCCAGUAACGCCCCACAGCACCAUAUAGGUCCUGUACUCUGCCCCAUACAUCCACAGGAGUGCCCCCCAGCACCCCAUGGCUCCUGCAUUCUGACCCAUGGAUGCCCAGUACUGCCCCACAGCACCAUAUAGGUCCUGUACUCUGCCCCAUAUAUCCACAGGAGUGCCCUGCAGCACCCCAUGGCUCCUGCACUCUGCCCCAUGGAUGCCCAGUACUGCCCAACAGCACCAUAUAGGUCCUGUACUCUGCCCCAUACAUCCACAGGAGUGCCCCCCAGCACCCUAUGGCUCCUGCAUUCUGACCCAUGGUGGAUGCCCAGUACUGCCCCACAGCACCAUAUAGGUCCUGUACUCUGCCCCAUACAUCCACAGGAGUGCCCCCCAGCACCCCAUGGCUCCUGCACUCUGCCCCAUGGAUGCCCAGUACUGCCCCACAGCACCGUAUAGCUCCUCUACUCUGCCCCAUACAUCCACAGGAGUGCCCCCCAGCACCCCAUAGUGACUCUACUCUUCCCCAUAGACCCACAGUGCUGCUGCACAGGACUCUACUCUGCCCCUUAGACCCAGAGAGCUGCCCCACAGCAGCCUGUAGGUGCUGCGUUCUGCCCCAUUGGUGCAAAGUGCUGCCCCACAGCGCCCCACACCUCUGUCCACCUGACCACCCUUCCCUCCUGACUGCGCCUGCACUGCCCACUAUGGGUGGGUCACAAGGGUCUAUGGGGCGGUGUGGGGGUCAGGGCGGCUGUGGGGUCAAUGGGGUUGUUGUGGUGUGAAACACCCCUGAAGAGGUUGAACCCCCUACAGGUGAGUGACCCACACAGUGACCCACAGCAGCCCAUAGCCCCUCUGCCCUAUAGAGUCACUGCACCCCAUAGCUGCUUUUACUCUGCCCCAUAAAUGGACAGCAGUGCUCCACAGCACCCUAAGUCUCCACUGUGCCCCAUAGACACACAGUGCUGUCCCACAGCACCCCAUAUCUUGUUCACUCUGCCCUAUAGACCCACAGUGUAACCCUACAGCACCCCAUAGUUCCUCUGCCCUAUAGAUUAACAGCACUGUCCCAGAAAACACCAUAGCUUCUUCCCACUAGCCCAUAGGCCAGCAAUUCUGCCCUACAGCGCACUAGCUCCUGCACCCUAUCCCAUAGACCCACAGCAGUGCCCCACAGAUCCAGUCUGCCCUAUACAUCCACAGCACUGCUCUGCAGCACCAUAUACUUCCAGCACUCUGGCCCAUUGAUAUGUAGCACCCCACAGCUGCUGCAUUCUGCCCAUAGAUCGAGAUUCCUGGGUCCCCUCACCCCACCAGCUGUCCUGGGUUGCGAUGCUGCACGGGGCCCUGUGCACAACAAAAUGAGGACAGCAUGGCUGCUGGGCGCCACCCAGCUUGGAAUCCGAGAUGGCUGGGGGGGGAGGGCUGGCAGCCAUGCUGGCACUGCCGGAGGGGCUGUUGGUCUGCGCCGUGCUCAGGCGGCAGCUCCCGGCUGUAUCGGCUGCUCCUGUGGCCCUGCACCCUGCCCAUGGGAACAAGGUGGCUGCCCUGAUGGGCGUGGCCAUCUCGGCUGCUGUGUCCCUGCUGGUGGGCGGGGCCAUGGCUGUCAUGGCUGCCAAGCCUGUGCUGGAAGGGUGGGGCUGAGGUGGGUGGGGCCUGCCUAGGGCGGCCAUUCUGGGGUGGGGCCCAAGGUGGGUGGUGGGGCCUGUGGCUCUGUUUACCCCUGACAGCCAUCUUGGAAAAGGGCAGCGCUGUGCCGCUGCCAUCCUGACGUUGCUCCCCCAGGGCCAUGUUGGGGGAUUUUUAACCUGGUUUUGGGGCCAAUUCUCACCCAAUAAAAUUAAAUAAUUUAAAAAAA
Columba livia (rock pigeon) is the source of this 7255-nucleotide long non-coding RNA. RefSeq lists it as uncharacterized. Lineage: Eukaryota; Metazoa; Chordata; Aves; Columbiformes; Columbidae. The record is from RefSeq and is a predicted model, not a curated record. The transcript has 2 exons.